Molecule: long non-coding RNA, 1492 nt
Organism: Rosa chinensis
Lineage: Eukaryota; Viridiplantae; Streptophyta; Magnoliopsida; Rosales; Rosaceae
Exons: 6
Source: RefSeq, a predicted model, not a curated record
GUGGGCUGCAAUGAACCAACCGAAAUGUAGACCAAGGGGACCCCAGUGACGUGGACAGAUUACAUCCUCAGGAAUUGGUUACUUUGUGUUGACCGUGAACUGACCGUUAACUGUAAAUGUUUUGCCGUCAUGGUGAAACAAGCGGGGGCUAAUGGUAUUUUGGCAUCUGGGAUGAGGUUUACAGCUGGGUUGGCGGGCAUCCUCUUCAUCAAAACCAUGAAAACUUUGUCUGGUUUGGGCGUUUGGCAGCUCCUCCCCUCCCCUGGGCUUCAGACGGGUCAGAAGUGAAUUACGAGUCAGACCAAUAUGCAAAUCGAGCGACCUCCCCUUGCCCUUGCAUGCAAUGAUGUGGUGAACCUCCUCUCGAUCAUUCUAAUUCAGUGCUCUCCAGAGAGCAAUUUCGUCGAUACACGGGAUGGUCCGGAAUCCCCAAAAUCUCCAAUAGCAAAGUCUCCAUCCCAGAACUCUCUUCGUAAUGCUAGUCUUGUUGCCAAAAGGAAAAUGUUUGCUGUGUCCCUGGUUGGAAGGUCCAGUUUCCAGAAGCUUUUGGAGCCAAAUUAAGCCCCCACUCAGAGAUCUGCAAUUACUCCUUAUAGAAUUAUUCUUGAUAAUAUAAAAGACAAGAUAUGUUUCCAAAUGAUACCAAACUUAGUAAGAAUGCUUGUCCUCUUUAAAUUGAGACAGUUCUUGGAGACUUCUCCCUGUUCAUUGCUUACAUCAGAUUUGUAUUAUCACUUUUCCAGCCAAGAAAAUUGGUAUCAGAGCCCAGGUGGUGAUCUAAUUAGCUGAGCUGUGUUUUCUUUAAAAUUGGACAUUCCAAGACUUUCUCCAAACAAGUUUCGUCCAAAACAAAAUAAGUUUGAACUCCUAGCUCCUUCGGUCCUUCCCAAAGAAAAAUCAGUUAGCUGGAAUUUUGCAAAAACUGCCCUGCAGCAUAGCCCUCUUCGCAAUCAUGUGGAUCAGGGAUCCUAGCUGAUGGUGGCCUUGAUGAUUUGAUCCAAAGAGUUGCUACCUUUGGGAUGGUAUUAAUGAAAGCUCGACUUGCGUCAGGUGUGCUUUUAUUUUAUUGUAGAAGACGUUGCUACCCCAGGCUGAGCUUGGCUUCCUCACAUAGGAAGCUGCCCCUCAAGAAGAAAGAGCUCUAAUGGAAUUGGACAUCUUCGGGCAGUUCCAUGGGUGUUUGCAUGGACUCAAACCAGAUUUGUCUUCCAGCUUUGCUUGGAGUUAAACCCCUUGUUGAUCUUUUUGUGAGAGCAUCAAACACACCAGCCAUAAAGGUGUAUGAGAAGUUUAUACAUCAGAUGCAUCCCAACAUGGAUUGAUUCCAAUUCCUUCAUGACACUACAUUUUCCUCUUCUGAAGUUCUGAUGUAUAUCAAGGGCAGAGCAACAAUAAGAGAUCUCAAGUACCUGCAACAAAAGCAAAAGAAAUUAUUGUAUCAAUUCCAGUACAUGAAUGCUUCAACUAAUAACUAAAUCACAAUUUAUCAUUU